UACGUAGGUGGCAAGCGAUACUCGGAAUCACUAGGCGUAAAGCGCAGGUAGGCGGUUUGAUAAGUCUUUUGUGAAAGCUUCCGGCUUAACUGGGAGAGGUCAAGGGAAACUGUCAGGCUAGAGUUUGGUAGGGGAUACUGGAAUUCCUGGUGUAGCGGUGAAAUGCGUAGAUAUCAGGAGGAAUACCUAUGGCGAAAGCAGGUAUCUGGGCCACAACUGACGCUGAGCUGCGAAAGCUAGGGGAGCAAACAGG
RNAcentral lists this ribosomal RNA (253 nucleotides) under uncultured bacterium. RNAcentral describes it as "partial 16S ribosomal RNA". It matches the Rfam family "Bacterial small subunit ribosomal RNA", at positions 524 to 776 of the family's 1533-position model. The record is from RNAcentral.